GUCCACGGCCAUGCCACCCUGAAUAAGUCUGAUCCUGUCUGAUCUCGGAAGCUAAGUAAGCAGCAUCGGGCCUGGUUAGUACUUGGAUGGGAGACCACCUAGGAAGACUAGGUGCUGCAAGCG
This 123-nucleotide ribosomal RNA is filed under the name Pteropus alecto (black flying fox). Lineage: Eukaryota; Metazoa; Chordata; Mammalia; Chiroptera; Pteropodidae. The record is from RNAcentral.